Molecule: ribosomal RNA, 419 nt
Filed under: bacterium
Lineage: Bacteria
Description: partial 16S ribosomal RNA
Rfam family: Bacterial small subunit ribosomal RNA
Source: RNAcentral
UGGGGGAUAUUGCACAAUGGGCGAAAGCCUGAUGCAGCGACGCCGCGUGGGGGAUGAAGGCCUUCGGGUUGUAAACUUCUUUUGCUCUGAACAAGGCAUGCUAAUGGGUGUGUUGAGUGUAGGGGUUGAUUAGCGCCGGCUAACUACGUGCCAGCAGCCGCGGUAAUACGUAGGGCGCGAGCGUUGUCCGGAAUUAUUGGGCGUAAAGGGCUUGUAGGUGGCUGGUUGCGUCUGUAGUGAAAGCUCAUGGCUUAACUGUGGGUUUGCGGUGGGUACGGGCUGGCUUGAGUGCAGUAGGGGAGGCUGGAAUUCCUGGUGUAGCGGUGGAAUGCGCAGAUAUAAGGAGGAGUACCGGUGGCGAAGGCGGGUCUCUGGGCUGUUACUGACACUGAGGAGCGAAAGCAUGGGGAGCGAACAGG